This 120-nucleotide ribosomal RNA is filed under the name Scophthalmus maximus (turbot). The record is from RNAcentral. Lineage: Eukaryota; Metazoa; Chordata; Actinopteri; Pleuronectiformes; Scophthalmidae.
GCUUACGGCCACACCGCCUGGUUCACGCCCGAUCUCGUUUGAUCUCGGAAGCUAAGAUAGGUUGGGCCUGGUUAAGUACUUGGAUGGGAGACCGCCUGGGAAUACCAGGUGCUGUAAGUU